This 106-nucleotide small nuclear RNA is filed under the name Octopus vulgaris (common octopus). Lineage: Eukaryota; Metazoa; Mollusca; Cephalopoda; Octopoda; Octopodidae. The record is from RNAcentral. RNAcentral also lists the same sequence under 1 other name.
GUAUAAUUGUGGCAGUACAUAUACUAAAAUUGGAACGAUACAGAGAAGAUUAGCAUGGCCCCUGCGCAAGGAUGAUACGCGAAUUCGUGAAGCGUUCUAUAUUUUU